GCACUCCCGGGGCGUCUCUAUCUCAUUGCGAGAGGAGGCGCACCUAGAGCGUACACGCUGAUACCCGAAAGAUGGUGAACUAUGCCUGGCCAGGACGAAGCCAGGGGAAACCCUGGUGGAGGUCCGCAGCGAUUCUGACGUGCAAAUCGAUCGUCGGAGCUGGGUUUAGGGGCGAAAGACCAAUCGAACCAUCUAGUAGCUGGUUCCCUCUGAAGUUUCCCUCAGGAUAGCUUGCGCUCGGGCGAGACGAGUCUCAUCCGGUAGAGCGAAUGAUUAGAGGCCUUGGGGUCGAAACGACCUCAACCUAUUCUCAAACUCCAAAUAGAUGAGAACCCCGGCUUUCUUGAACUAUGUUCUUUUGAAGCCGGGGGCUUGGAUCAGAGUGCCAAGUGGGCCAAUUUUGGUAAGCAGAACUGGCGCUGUGGGAUGAACCAAACGCAGAGUUAAGGCGCCUCAAUCGACGCUCAUGUGAGACCAUGAAAGGCGUUGGUUGCUUAAGACAGCAG
RNAcentral lists this ribosomal RNA (506 nucleotides) under Peritropis advena. RNAcentral's name for it is "partial large subunit ribosomal RNA". It matches the Rfam family "Eukaryotic large subunit ribosomal RNA", at positions 755 to 1243 of the family's 3401-position model. The record is from RNAcentral. Lineage: Eukaryota; Metazoa; Arthropoda; Insecta; Hemiptera; Miridae.